This 430-nucleotide ribosomal RNA is filed under the name uncultured bacterium. RNAcentral describes it as "bacterial LSU rRNA". It matches the Rfam family "Bacterial large subunit ribosomal RNA", at positions 751 to 1176 of the family's 2925-position model. The record is from RNAcentral.
CGCGGGUAAAACCGCGUGGAGGUCCGAACUCACUGCAGUUGAAAAUGCAGGGGAUGAGGUGUGGGUCGGAGUGAAAGGCUAAUCAAAACCGGGAGAUAGCUGGUUCUCGCCGAAAGAUAUUUAGGUAUCGCCUCGAGAAACUCUGUCGAGGAGGUAGAGCACUGGAUGGGCUAGGGGUCUUACCAGAUUACCAAACCCAACCAAACUCCUAAUGCCUCGACAUUUACCUCGGGAGUCAGGCUGUGGGAGCUAAGUUCCAUGGCCAAAAGGGAAAGAGCCCAGACCGCCAGCUAAGGUCCCUAAGUCGUUGCUAAGUGGGAAAGGAUGUGGAAGCACACAGACAACCAGGAGGUUGGCUUAGAAGCAGCCAUCCUUUAAAAGAAAGCGUAAUAGCUCACUGGUCAAGUGAAUCCGCGCCAAAAAAUUUAAC